GUUCGACGCCGUUGAAACUUUUUAGCAUAUGUUUGACCGUUCGUCUUAUUUAAAAAAUUUAAGUAAUUAUUAAUUCUUUUCCUAUCAUUUAAUUUAUUGUUAAAUAUAUUUUCAUGUAGGCAUAUAAUUUUACAUAUUUCACAAAAGUUUUUAAAUAAGACGAACGGUCAAACAUGUGCUAAAAAGUUAACGG
This 193-nucleotide microRNA precursor is filed under the name Oryza sativa Indica Group (long-grained rice). RNAcentral describes it as "MIR812 microRNA precursor family". Lineage: Eukaryota; Viridiplantae; Streptophyta; Magnoliopsida; Poales; Poaceae. The record is from Rfam by way of RNAcentral.